Long non-coding RNA from Myripristis murdjan (pinecone soldierfish), 540 nucleotides. RefSeq lists it as uncharacterized. The transcript is spliced from 2 exons. NCBI's taxonomy places the organism in Eukaryota, Metazoa, Chordata, Actinopteri, Holocentriformes, Holocentridae. The record is from RefSeq and is a predicted model, not a curated record.
CUUUUUCUCAAAAUUUUUUUAAAAUUUCAAAAUACAUUGAGGAAUGCUACUUUUGCACCAAAAAAAUUGCUAAAGUAUAAUCGCAGCCAAAAUGCUGGUCAAAAGAAAAGUAAAGAAAAAAAUAGAGAGAAUAUUUUUUAUUUAAAAUUGAAAUGAGUGGGGCUGGAUUGACAUCAGAUUUUGGGGAGCAAGCCUGAUGAAAUAAUAUGCAAAACACAUCUAAAUCUUCUUGAUGUGUGGAAAGACUUUUGACUCGACAGUAUUUGAAUUUCCUGUGCUUGACCAGCAACCAAAGAAAGCAAGUGGCUCUGAGGGGGACCUUUUUUUUAAGUCCCAUUUGUUGAUGUGGGUUUGUAGAUGCUUGUUCACACAUGUAACCUUUUAGAAAGGUCACGAGCAAAUUAACAAAAAAAUGACCUGAUAAUUAACAAGAAACGGCUUAAAAAGUUACAAGAAAACUGAACUUGGUUCAAGACCCAUGAAUUGCAGUUUGACUUUAAAAUUUUUUUCAGUGAUUGCGUGUGUCUGAGUUCAAUUCAA